Molecule: transfer RNA, 85 nt
Filed under: Candidatus Tremblayella phenacoccinincola
Lineage: Bacteria; Pseudomonadati; Pseudomonadota; Betaproteobacteria
Description: Candidatus Tremblaya phenacola tRNA
Rfam family: tRNA
About the family: Transfer RNA (tRNA) molecules are approximately 80 nucleotides in length. Their secondary structure includes four short double-helical elements and three loops (D, anti-codon, and T loops).
Source: Rfam by way of RNAcentral
GGAGGAGUGGCCGAGUGGUUUAAGGCACUAGUCUUGAAAGCUAGCAAUGUGAAAGCAUUCUAGAGUUCGAAUCUCUACUCCUCCA